RNAcentral lists this ribosomal RNA (482 nucleotides) under uncultured bacterium. RNAcentral's name for it is "partial 16S ribosomal RNA". It matches the Rfam family "Bacterial small subunit ribosomal RNA", at positions 28 to 507 of the family's 1533-position model. The record is from RNAcentral.
GACGAACGCUGGCGGCGUGCUUAACACAUGCAAGUCGAACGCUGAAGCUCAGCUUGCUGGGUGGAUGAGUGGCGAACGGGUGAGUAACACGUGAGUAACCUGCCCUCUUCUUUGGGAUAACGCCCGGAAACGGGUGCUAAUACUGGAUAUUCACUGAUUCUCGCAUGGGGGUUGGUGGAAAGGUUUUUUCUGGUGGGGGAUGGGCUCGCGGCCUAUCAGCUUGUUGGUGGGGUGAUGGCCUACCAAGGCUUUGACGGGUAGCCGGCCUGAGAGGGUGACCGGUCACAUUGGGACUGAGCUACGGCCCAGACUCCUACGGGAGGCAGCAGUGGGGAAUAUUGCACAAUGGGCGAAAGCCUGAUGCAGCGACGCCGCGUGAGGGAUGGAGGCCUUCGGGUUGUAAACCUCUUUCGCUCAUGGUCAAGCCGCAGCGUUGGGUUGUGGUGAGGGUAGUGGGUAAAGAAGCGCCGGCUAACUACGUG